This 429-nucleotide ribosomal RNA is filed under the name Bacteroidota bacterium. RNAcentral's name for it is "Bacteroidetes bacterium partial 16S ribosomal RNA". It matches the Rfam family "Bacterial small subunit ribosomal RNA", at positions 355 to 776 of the family's 1533-position model. Lineage: Bacteria; Pseudomonadati; Bacteroidota. The record is from RNAcentral.
UAGGGAAUCUUCCGCAAUGGACGCAAGUCUGACGGAGCAACGCCGCGUGAGUGAAGAAGGAUUUCGGUUCGUAAAACUCUGUUGUUAGAGAAGAACAGCGCAUAGAGUAACUGUUAUGCGUGUGACGGUAUCUAACCAGAAAGCCACGGCUAACUACGUGCCAGCAGCCGCGGUAAUACGUAGGUGGCAAGCGUUGUCCGGAUUUAUUGGGCGUAAAGCGAGCGCAGGCGGUCAAUUAAGUCUGAUGUGAAAGCCCCCGGCUCAACCGGGGAGGGUCAUUGGAAACUGGUUGACUUGAGUGCAGAAGAGGAGAGUGGAAUUCCAUGUGUAGCGGUGAAAUGCGUAGAUAUAUGGAGGAACACCAGUGGCGAAGGCGACUGUCUGGUAUGUAACUGACGCUGAGGCUCGAAAGCGUGGGUAGCAAACAGG